This 468-nucleotide ribosomal RNA is filed under the name uncultured bacterium. Its description in RNAcentral is "partial 16S ribosomal RNA". It matches the Rfam family "Bacterial small subunit ribosomal RNA", at positions 28 to 507 of the family's 1533-position model. The record is from RNAcentral.
GACGAACGCUGGCGGCGCGCCUAACACAUGCAAGUCGAACGGAGCUGAGAGAAGCUUGCUUUUCUUAGCUUAGUGGCGAACGGGUGAGUAACGCGUGAGUAACCUGCCCUGGAGUGGGGGACAACAGUUGGAAACGACUGCUAAUACCGCAUAAGCCCACGAUCCGGCAUCGGCUUGAGGGAAAAGGAUUUAUUCGCUUCAGGAUGGACUCGCGUCCAAUUAGCUAGUUGGUGAGGUAACGGCCCACCAAGGCGACGAUUGGUAGCCGGACUGAGAGGUUGAGCGGCCACAGUGGGACUGAGACACGGCCCAGACUCCUACGGGAGGCAGCAGUGGGGGAUAUUGCACAAUGGGGGAAACCCUGAUGCAGCGACGCCGCGUGGAGGAAGAAGGUUUUCGGAUUGUAAACUCCUGUCGUUAGGGACGAUAAUGACGGUACCUAACAAGAAAGCACCGGCUAACUACGUG